This 228-nucleotide long non-coding RNA is filed under the name Glycine max (soybean). RNAcentral describes it as "long non-coding RNA (GMAX_LNC002020)". The record is from RNAcentral. Lineage: Eukaryota; Viridiplantae; Streptophyta; Magnoliopsida; Fabales; Fabaceae.
UUGUGCCUCCCCUCCGUGAUCGGCUGAGCGUCAUAUCCAUACCCGGGAAGGCUGUCAAAGUUUUUGAGAACCUUCUAAAGCGUGAUGGGUUCAAGGUGAAGCAUUGUCGUGGUGGCGUCGCAUCAAGAAAUGUGGUGUUGAAGAGUUUGGUUUGGUGCUUGGCGGAGUCAUUGAGCAGUGAUGAGUGUCGGAGGCUCCACUGGAAGAAGGAGAUGUAGGGAGUGUUGC